This 11186-nucleotide long non-coding RNA is filed under the name Marmota monax (woodchuck). Lineage: Eukaryota; Metazoa; Chordata; Mammalia; Rodentia; Sciuridae. The record is from RNAcentral.
GGACAGCGGAGCAGAGGAAGACAGCGGAGCAGAGGAAGACGGCGGAGCAGAGCAGAGGAAGACGGCGGAGCAGAGGAAGACCCAUCGUCACACAGUGUGUUGAACUGCGACUCUUCUACACUGAUCUUCAACAAAUACUUGCUCCAUCUGGCCUGAGGAUUUCAUUCUUCGCGUUUGUGGGAGAAGACCUUUAAAAGAAAACGACGUUGAGGGUGAGUUGCUGGGGUGUGCUGCUCUGCACAAAACACCUUUAUUUUAUUUAUUUACUUUUAUGUGGUGCUGAAGAUGGAACCCAGGGCCUAGCAUGUGCCAGGUGAGCGCUCUACAGCUGAGCCACAACCCAAGCCCCCCCCCCAAGUCUUGAACGUUCUUAUAGUGAAUUUCUGCUUUUUGUAGUUCUUGUUAUUGACAAAUCUAAAAGAUGUUUUUGUCUUUCUUGUGAAAAUUGUUUUUCUCAAAACCCAGUAUAUCUAUCGUUGAGGUAUCUGAAAGUUAGGCUUCCGGAUCCUGAUGUAAGAAAACGUAGGGUAGCUAGUACUAAGUUCAGGAGGAACCAGGAAAAAAUAUGCAGGGAAGACAAAAAGAACCCCUGAAAAAUGUAAGCUGUUAGGUCUUGAUUUACACGUGCUUAUACACAUAAAGAGGUUUUUCAUCCUAUGAUUAAAAUUUAAUCCAAAUAUUUUAAAUCUAGUUUUAUCAGGAUUUUUCCCUCACAAGUUAUCUUAUUUGGCUUUGGCAUUAAAUAGUCAUUGAAUAAUUAAUGUAAUAACGAAUUUUGCUAAAAAUAAUUUUAAUAUUUUCCUCCUUGUUUCAUCUAUUCAUUUCAUUUUCUUUCCAUGUCUUUUGCAUUUUCCUUUACCUCAUAUUUACGUUAUUAUUCUGAGAACAUGAAGGAAUUUUUUUUCAUAUACUUGAUUGAAUUAUCACAUAAGGUUCUCAUGAAUGGGAUAUGCCAUUCUGACCAAGAUUUGAUAAUUUCAAAGAUAAAAUCAUCCUGUGGCACCUGUGAGAAAGGUAGAUGUCUGUGCAGUUUCUUACUUUCCAGGAUCUUGGCCUCUAUUGUGUGUCCCCAUAGAAAGUGAUGAAGUAUCAUUUCUACCUCUUUCAUUCAAAGACUGAACAAUAUCCCCAGCCUCAACAAUUUAAGUUACUCAGCAUUAAAAGAGAAUAAAAUUAUGGCAUUUGCAUGUAAAUGGAUGGAGUUGGACAAUAUCAUGCUAAAUGAAGUAAGUCAAUCCCUAAAAACCAAAGGCAGAAUAUUCUGAUAAGUGGAUGCUGAUCCAUAGCAGAGAGGGGUUAGACAUGGGAAAAAUGGAGAAAUAUAUUGUUUUUAACUUUAAAAUACAAUAAUCCUUUGUUGGUAUUCAUUCAAUUUCUUUAAUAUAUACAGUACCAUUCAGAUCAUCUACUUAUUUUUGUAGUAGGUCUUUUGGUAGAUUUUGUCUUUCAAGAAAUUAUUCCAUUUCAUCUAGGUUUUCAAAUUUCUGAUUACAUAACUAUUCAUAAUAUUACUUUAUUAUCCUUCUAACAUUCAGAGAAUAUUUAGGAAUGGCCUCUUUUUCAUUUCCAAUAUUAGUAAUUUAUGAUCCCUCCCUCCCUCCCUCCCUCUCUCUCUCUCUCUCCCCCCCCCCUUUAGCUACCUUGAUUAGAUUCUUACCAAUUUUAUCUUUUCAAAAGACCAUCUUUUUUUUUUUUUUCAUUAAUUUUCUCUUUUGGUAUCCUGUUCUCAAUUUCAUUGAGUUCUGCUCUAAUUUUAAUUAUUUCUUUUUUUCCAUUUAUUUAAAAUUUAGUCUGCUUUCCUUUUUCUGGUUUCCUAAGUGAGAAGGAUAAUAAAGUAAUGUUAGAAGGAUAAUAAAGUAAUAUUAUGAAUAGUUAUGUAAUCAGAAAUUUGAAAACCUAGAUGAAAUGGAAUAAUUUCUUGAAAGACAAAAUCUACCAAAAUGCCUACUACAAAAAUAAGUAGAUGAUCUGAAUGGUACUGUAUAUAUUAAAGAAAUUGAAUGAAUACCAAUAAUCAAUAUAUUUCUCCAUUUUUCCCAUGUCUAACCCCUCUCUGCUACGGAUCAGCAUCCACUUAUCAGAAUAUUCUGCCUUUGGUUUUUAGGGAUUGACUUAUUUCAUUUAGCAUGAUAUUGUCCAACUCCAUCCAUUUACAUGCAAAUGCCAUAAUUUUAUUCUCUUUUAAUGCUGAGUAACUUAAAUUGUUGAGGCUGGGGAUAUUGCUCGGUCUUUGAAUGAAAGAGGUAGAAAUGAUACUUCAUCACUUUCUAUGGGGAAACACAAUAGAGGCCAAGAUCCUGGAAAGUAAGAAACUGCACAGACAUCUACCUUUCUCACAGGUGCCACAGGAUAAUUUUAUCUUUGAAAUUAUCAAAUCUUGGUCAGAAUGGCAUAUCCCANUUCCCUCCCACCUCUCAUCCCUGUUUAAUGUUAAUCUUCUUCUCAUGCUCUUCAACCCUACUCUGUUCUUAGUUACUCUCCUUAUAUCAAAGAAGACAUUUGGCAUUUGUUUUUUAGGGAUUGGCUAGCUUCACUUAGCAUAAUCUGCUCUAAUGCCAUCCAUUUCCCUGCAAAUUCUAUGAUUUUGUCAUUUUUUAAUGCAGAGUAAUACUCCAUUGUGUAUAAAUGCCACAUUUUUUUUAUCCAUUCGUCUAUUGAAGGGCAUCUAGGUUGGUUCCACAGUCUUGCUAUUGUGAAUUGUGCUGCUAUGAACAUCGAUGUAGCAGUGUCCCUGUAGCAUGCUCUUUUUAGGUCUUUAGGGAAUAGACCGAGAAGGGGAAUAGCUGGGUCAAAUGGAGGGUCCAUUCCCAGCUUUCAAAGAAAUCUCCAUACUGCUUUCCAAAUUGGCUGCACCAACUUGCAGUCCCACCAGCAGUGUACAAGUGUACCCUUUUCCCCACAUCCUCGCCAGCACUUGUUGUUGUUUGACUUCAUAAUGGCUGCCAAUCUUACUGGAGUGAGAUGGUAUCUUAGGGUGGUUUUGAUUUGCAUUUCUCUGACUGCUAGAGAUGGUGAGCAUUUUUUCAUGUACUUGUUGAUUGAUUGUAUGUCCUCCUCUAAGAAGUGUCUGUUCAGGUCCUUGGCCCAUUUGUUGAUUGGGUUGUUUGUUAUUUUAUUGUCUAAUUUUUUGAGUUCUUUGUAUACUCUGGAUAUUAGGGCUCUAUCUGAAGUGUGAGGAGUAAAGAUUUGUUCCCAGGAUGUAGGCUCCUUAUUUACCUCUCUUAUUGUUUCUUUUGCUGAGAAAAAAACUUUUUAGUUUGAGUAAGUCCCAUAUGUUGAUUCUAGUUAUUAACUUUUGUGCUAUGGGUGAGGUGUUUUUUUUUUUUAAAUAGAACUUCUUUCAAUUUAUUUUUCUUUAUAUUUGGUUACCCACAGUUUGAAUAUGGUAUGCUUAAGGUAUUGAUAUUUUUUACAUUUAUACUGAUUGAUGUUUUAUGAGAGUUCUAUAAAGAUCCAAUGAAUAUGGUAAAGAAAAUUAAGAUUUAUAAGUUAGGUAUACAGCUAUCAAAUAGAUAUGGUCCAUGAUGGAACAUGGACCAUAUGUAAUUUGAAAUGUUCCAAUUACUACAUAUAAAAUGCUGGAAAUCAUAGUAACUAUGAGUGGUAAUGGCUAUAUUAAUUAAUUUGACAUGGUGAUCAAUACAUGAUACAUACAUGAUAUGUGCACAUAUAUCUGUGUGUAUACAUACAUACAAUCGUUUUGCAUACCUGAAUAUAUAGUUUUAUGUGCUGAUUAAACAUUUUAAAGUAAAAAAUAAAAAUCAACAAAUUUAAUUAAUUUUAAUAAUGUAAUUUGACUCAAAUAUAAAUAUUAUUAUUUCAGUACAUGUAUGAUUGCACCUGUGAUGUGACUCUACAUAAUGUACAACCAGAAAAACAAAAUUGUGCUCCAUUUGUGUACAAUGAAUCAAAAAGCUUUCUGCUCUCAUGUAUAACUGAUUAGAACUAAUAAAAAAUAAACGGAAACAAACCCACCUCUCUUCUUUAUAAAUUACCCAUUCUGUGGUCUUCCACUGUAGCAAUAAAAAACAGAAAGACAGGGUUCCUGAGGGAAGCAGAGAUCAGGAGUUCAGGGUUGAGCACCAGAGCCAGACACACUAUCUCUCAUGGAGAGCUUGCUUCUCUCCAGCCCCACGGAGAGAACAAACAGGGGCAAUUCCUCCUGAUGGCUGUUGGAAAAAAGGUCAUUGGGAGGGACUUCUGCUGGUACACUGUCCUCUGGCUAACAGGUUCUUUACCUCCCAUCUUGUUCCUUUCAUUUCUUUCUUAUUAAUAAUUAUAUCUUACUUUUCAAACCCUACAGAACGUUAUUCCAAUAGAUGCUGUCAUGAAGCUGCAGUAUGAAGAAAUCCAUGGCUUGACUCACUCAAGCACCAGAGUAAAAUCCAGGCUCUCCUGUCCAGGCUUCACAUACUCCCCACAGGGGGCCCAGAAAAUUCAGGAAACAUAAGAGGCUCAGGUUGACUUAGGAACAUGUGAUAUUACCAGUAGUUAUGUUCAUAUGACUAUUGGAAAUACAAAUUCCAGUUCUGUAAAAAAUUGAAUAGUACUUAUGUUUUUUUCUGUAUGAACAGUAUACUCAGAUUACUCAAUGUGAAUAGAAAAAAUUUCCUCUUGAAGCUGAAUAUUUGAGAAGUUAUUGAUCUUAUUGAAGCUAUUUCACCAGUAGUUAAAUGUUUAGUAUGAACGUAAAUGAUUUAACUAGUAGACUUUCUUUUUUUAAGCUCCCUCCUUUCAGGAGGAUUUGUUUAACGGAUUAAACAAAAUGAUGGUUUAAGAAUGUUUUUAAAGUCAAAGUUUGUUUUUGUCUUCAGCUUGAACCCAGGCUUUUUGGAAUUUCCUUGAAUUAAGUGUGGUUAUUUAAAAGCACAAGAGAGAAAUCCCUUGUAUUUACCAACUUAUUUAUUUAUAUAUUUUUAAAAUAUAGAUGAAUCUUUUUUUUGUUUAUUUUUAUGUGGUGCUGAGGAUCGAAUCCAUUGCCUCACAUGUGCGAGGCAGGCGCUCUGCCACUGAACCACACCACCAGCCCAUUUACCAACUUUUUUAUUAGCCCUUGCUUAAUUUAGUAUUUUGCCUUCCUUUUUUUAUGUUGAUGAAUUCUUCUUUUUAGCUUUCUCUGGUGUAUAGAUGUCAGUUACGUGUAUCCUUCUGUUUACAUGAGAUAAAUAUUGCUAGUUUAAAAGGGUGGGUCUUUUUCUAGGAAUGUAUUGAGUUGAAGAUGGUAUUUAGGUUGACAGUUUCUGUCUCUUGCCUAUUUAAUUAUCUAAGGAGAACUGUUGAGAAAGCCCACUUGAGGUCUGGGGAUGUAGCUCUGUGAUAGAACACUGGCCUAGCAUUCUUGGGGUCCAGGGUUUGAUCCCGUGCACCAAACAAGAGUAUUUGAGUUCACUAUGUAAACAGAUCCUGCACUGUGGUAUGUGGCUACUUAAGGUUGAGUUUUUAUUGGCUACUUAAGGUUGAGUUUUUAUUGGCUACUUAAGGUUGAGUUUUUAUUGGCUUAUUUUCAGAAAUAAGAGUAGCCCCUUACAUAAUUUCCAGAAUAUAAAUUUUAUUUAGUAAAAGAGUAGGUAGGCACUUUUCAUUUCACACAGCCUUUAUGUUUUGAAUUUUGUUUUUCCUCUCUGAAUUAGUUCCUGGAUGGCUGGAGGUGUAUACUUUUUUUCUUUUAAAUUCAAUACCUUUUAGUUGUCAGUGGACCUUUAUUUUAUUCAUUUAUAUAUGCGGUGCUAAGAAUCCAACCCAGUGCCUCACACAUGCUGGGCAAGUGCUCUACCACUGAGCCACAGCCCCAGACCCUAUAGUUUUCAAUUGUGAUAACAUUGUUUAAAAAUUGAAUUUUUUUUUUUUCUUUUUGAUGUUAAACCAUGUGUUUAAAGGAUGACUCUGCAUUUUCAUUCAGCUUUCAGGUCCUUGUUCAUUUUGAUGCCUAUUUCUCUGCGUAAAACCCAGCAGAAGGAGCCACAACUUUUAAGAGUCUGUUUGUUUACCAAAAAAAGAGAGGAACAUUAGCAUGCCUACUAAGAUAUUUAUAUACCCAUAAACAAUGUAUAGAUUGGUUAGGUGUGGGGUACUGAUAGCUAUUUUUCAAGUGUAGUUUCCUUCCAAAUUUUUCCUAAACUGAUGUUUAAUAUCUCAACAAAAUAGACAACUGCUGAUAUCUAGGCAAAAUAGGAAAUACAUGCUUAUUUAUACACAGGCAUACUUUUGAGUUCCUAAGGCAAGCUGACUUUCAGAUUAGGUUAUCUUUCUGGAAAAGAAACCUGUUAACCGAGAUGAAAGGGGAAUGUUGAGUGGGGUUUGGAGAUUAUUUUGUUACUUUAUGGCAAAAUUCAGAAGCAAAGCAUAUUGGUAUAGCAGUGUAAAUUUGUUAGGUUUCAAUAUGACAUUGAUUUUGUGUGUGUGUGUGUGUGUGUGUGUGUGUGUGUUACUGGGGAUGGAACCCAGGGCCUUGUGCAUGUGAGGCAAGCACUCUGCCAACUGAGGUAUAUCCUCAGCCCUGAUAUGUUUUUAAUCAUAAAUUUUGCCUAGGGUUUUAGUUGACUUUCUUUAAAAAAAAAUUCAAAUUUUUGGUGUUUAUUACCUAUCUCAUUGGUUAAUUUUUGUCUGUUGAGUACAAAAGAAAAAGGAGCUCUUAACUUACACCUUAGCAAGAAACUUUUUUUUUGAGAGUCUAUAAAAUGACUUAUUUUCAUCGGAAGUGGUCAUUUUGGUUUUUUAAUCCAAGAAAAUUCAAUUAAAACUUUGUCCAACCUGCCUCCUAGUUUUAAAAGUACAGAUUUAGUGGUUUAGUGUUAAAUAUAUGUUAAGAGAGGGCAGAAGUCAUUGUAAGAUUAUAAUGAGAAAUAUUAAGUUUCUGUGAAUUUCUGGAAUUUGAAUAAAAAAGAUUUGAUCUCUGCAUUGCUGGUGAGGAUUCUGAUUUGGAUCAAGGUAGGGAGGAAAGAGGGAGGGCUUGUGAACCACAAUUAUUUCUUUCCUCUUCAUCAGUGAUUAACUGAGAACAGGUAACAGGACAUUAAUGAGUGUACAGGAAUUUGCCUUCCCACAGGUAGACUUUGGAACUAGUAAAAGGAACAAAAGUCAGGAAACCUUUUUCCAGUGCUUGUGUCUAGUCUUUCUGAUCUUUCCAUAGCAAUUACAAGUAUUGAAUUACCUCUGGCACUCUGAUCUUGCUUUUUUUUUUUCCUCCGCAUUUUAAAAUUGGUGCAUUAUGGUUGUACAUAACUGCUUGCCUUUUAAUUCAACUUACAGUGAUUGCUGAAUUUCCUAUCUUUUUCUUAAUUAACCAAGACUUAAAUAUUUCCUUUUGAUCUAAAGGUUUUAACUUCUUCUUUUAGGAGAUAGGGAACAUUUCUUUAUUUUAGAUGGUGAACUUAAAAUACUGCCUUAUAAAAUUAGACUUUUAAUUCUCAGUUUCAGUAGUAAAAUGAGGCCUAGCCCAUGUUCUUUCUUCUGGACAUGCAGUGAACAAUCAGGCCUUUGAGAUCAUAGUUGAUAGUAAAAUGGCAGCUGCGGAAGGAUUAGAACUUAAUUUUGUUCAUUGCUGCAUCACCAGUGUCCGGAGUAGUACAUUCCAUCCAAAAAUACCGGUUGAAUGCAUGAAUCUUCACCACUUAAGCAAAGUAGGUGGAUGCAGUAAUGUUUUUGAUUUUCUCCUUGUUUGUAUUUUUAGUUAUACUUGUCUUAAGCAGUAAAGGUUUUUAGGAAACUUGAGUUUGAGGGAAUGAGUUUAAGCCAUAGUUGCUUUACCCAGAUGAUAAAUGUUUGUGUUUGACUUAAUGCCAAUGAUUAAAUCAUCUCUCCACCAAGGAAUAAUCCUACCCAACCUACUACAGGUAUCCUAAUUUUGAAUAUCUAAAAGUUAAUAGACAUAAGGAAAAAAGAAAAAAAAUAUAUCCCUUCCAGUGGCAGUUGUAAAGCUUUUUUAAAAAAAAAUAUUUUUAAAUUUUUAUUUAUUUAUUUAAUUUUUACAUAGGAUCUAGCUAUGUUGACCAGGAUGGUUCUGAACUUUUGGACUCAAGUGAUCCCAUCUUAACCUCUAAAGUAGCUGGGACUACAGGUCUGCGUCACUGUGCCUUGCUGUAAAAUCAUUUCUUAAAAUUUAAUAAUCCCGGAUUUACAAUUUAGUAUUGCCUCCACACUCAAGGUGUGUUCCAAAUCUGUUCUUUUUUUUUUUUUAACUAUUCAGUGCAUGUGCAAGAAGAUCAAUUUGUUUUCAUAUCCACAGUAAAUAAGAUUGUUUUAAAAUUAUUUAAUGUUGCUUGCCUUAAAGUUUUGAACUCUUAAUAUCCUGCAUUUGAAAAGUUACAGGGCUAUUUGAAAAUUACUCCAUUUUUCAAAAUGUAUUUCAGUUAAAAAAAAAAAAGUUCUCCACUGUCCCCCUCUCCCAUCCCCCCAAACAUUUUAGGAUGCCUGGCCUUUGUUUUAGUUUUUCCUGUUUUAUUUAUUUUUUUCAGAAUAAUAGGCAUGAGUUUAUUAGAAAGGAUAGGAAAGGAGAGAAGGGGACACAGUAAAGGGAGAGAGUAGGUUCUCUCAGGAGAGGGACGCUUGUUUAUAUUUACUGAUUAGUUUUUAUGUUUUUUAAAAAGUUGGGGCUAUGGCUGUGGCUCAGUGGUAGCACACUUGCCUGGCAUGUGUGAGGCACUGGGUUUGAUUCUCAGCACCACAUAGAUCUUUAUUUAUUCAUUUAUUUCUAUCAACAACUUAAAAAUUUUUUUUAAAAAAGUUGGGGCUGGAGUUGUGGCUCUGUGGUAGAAUGGUUGCCUAGCAUGGGUGAGGCACUGGGUCAGAUCCUCAGCACCACAAAAAAGCAAAUAAAAAAAAAUAAAGGUUAAAUUCUUCAAAAAAUGUAAUGGCUUCAAAAGAUUAUAUAAAUCAUCCAGAUUGGUGUACCUCUUUGCCCUGUUGAAGCUAGUGUGGUAGGUGGCACAUAGGUAAUCACAAACUAUACUGAGUAUAUACUAAAUUUGUCCAUUCCUUCUUGGCCUUCUCAGGGCCUCUGUGACUUUCAUAGUCAACCUCAUUAUCUUCCAGAAAGAGAGUUCAUUGAGUAUAUUGUGUUAGGUUUCUUUCUCUGAUCAAACUGUGUGAUAAUAUCUCGUGUCAUAGUAUUUAAUAUUUAACUAUGUUGAUUUUUAUUCUUUAGGGUUAUCUCUUACAAUAGAUAAAAUCAUAUUCAUAUAGUGUAAUAUGUAAUGGUAAAAAACUUGUAUCUUAAUUCAGAUAGCUUCAGAAUGAUUUAUUUUAUUUUGGGUACUGGGAAUUGAACUCAGGGUCACUUGACCACUUUGCCACAGCCUAUUUUGUAUUUUAUUUAGAGACAGGGUCUCAUUGAGUUUCUCAGUGCCUUGCUUUUGCUGAGGCUGGCUUUGAACUCUUGAUCCUCCUGCCUCGGCCUCUGGAGCUGCUGGCUACUGCAUCUGGCCAGAAGGAUUUAAUUUUUGUAUUCCCUUGUGAUGGAACAUAAGAGUAACUUUAACAUUUAAGAGUUAAUUAACCCCUACCUCACCCAACAUAACCAUAUUAAAUUCUCUAGCUCUAAAAUUAAGAUUAUGUUCAAGGCCCCCAAACAUAACUACUUUGAGGUACAUCUGACUUUUAUCAUAGGAAGGUGCUCGUCACCUUUUUUUUUUUUUCUUUUUGUAGAUGGACAGAAUGCCUUUACUUUAUUUGUUUAUUUUUAUGUGGUACUGGGGAUCAAACCCAGUGCCUCACGCUUGUCUCCCGCCGAGCUUCUUUUAGACUCAUGGCCCUUAUGUGACAAAUAGUCCUUAGAGACAUGGGCAUUGUAUUUUGCUGGUGGUGUUUCACAGUUAUAUGCUUAUUUCCAGUCAAGAAGAUGUUUGAUUUUGGUUAUUGGGAAGAAGAUGAUUCUUUGCUGUAAUUGAAGCCUACCUGUCUCAGCCUUUUCGUUGAAUCUGUCUUUUUAUUUGGUUCAUUUCUUGGAAUUUCAUGGGCACCUGUGGAAAUUUUACAUGAACACUUAAUGAACAUAUUUCUGACAGAAUAAGUAAUUUCUAAAACAUGUCAGAUAAUUCUUAGAAUAGAUGUAGUGAUUUUGUGUUGAAUUUAAUCCCACCCCACAACCCCAAUUAUCUUUUUUUGGAGGGGGGUACUGGGGAUUGAACUCAGGAGCACUUGACCACUAGUCACAUCCCCAUCCCUUUUUUGUACUUUACCUAGAGACAGGGUCUCACUGUGUUGCUUAGCACCUAGCUUUUGCUGAGGCUGGCUUUGAACCCCCAAUCCUCCUUUCUCAGCCUCCCAAGCCUCUGGGAUUACAGGUGUGCACCAUCACACCCGGCCACAACCCUAAUUAUCUGAUGGACGUAUAUCUUCUUGGGAGGUUACUAGAAUAGCGUACAUAGCUGGCUAGCUUCCUUGAAUUCCACCCUCAUUUUCUAAUGAAAUAGUUAUUUUUCUGAUUCUGAGUUUCAGUAUUCAUUAUAUUCUUCUUCACGUAUAUGACUUCAUGUCACUUGAACCAUCAGCUCAAAAGAAUUGUGUCUAUAAAUAUUGAGAGAAAUAAUCACAAAGGAAUUAGGUCAAUUAGGUCUUUUAUUUCUGUAAAGGUCAGAAUAGUUGCCUAGUAGAGAACAAAUUCUUUGUGCCCCUUACUUUUUUCUUAAAAAAGAUUCAUUGGUAGAAGGCAAUUAUAUGUACCAAAAACUUUAAGUAGAAGUCCAAACCAGAGUAGCUGUGACCUUAGAUUUUAACGUACCUGUUCGUUUAAGUUGCGGAGAUUUCCCUGACAAGCUGUCAGAAAUGAUGCUUUCUUGACUGAAGAAAAUCCCUAAAAUAGGAGGUUCCUGGAAAGCUCUUUUUUGUAUAUUUCUACUGUUGUAGAAGGCAUGCAAAGACCUGGCUGGGUCUUAAUUCUGUGAUUUAAAUAUUAUAAAAUUUGUGGUUAUUUGCUGCAAUAAAGAGUGUUUUCUGAACAGUGUUUAUUGCAGCAAGAAAAAUCCAUCAUAUGUUCUACCUUGUACAGAAAAAUCUGGCAGUGAAAUCUAUCUUGAUUCUUAAAAUAUUUGUCAUUAUAAAAUGUGUUUCUUUUGCAGAUUUCCUUGUGAAACCUUCUGAUAGAAAAAGUUCUCAGUACAAACUUCAUUUGGUAAGUUAUACCCCCCGCAAUAUUCUCUCUCUGCUGAUUUGAAGCAGGAAAAAAUGAUUUACAGAAUGAUGGUGGUGGU